AGAGGUGGCAAGCGUUGUUCGGAUUUACUGGGCGUAAAGUGUGCGUAGGUGGUUUUGUAAGUUGAAUGUGAAAGACCCCCAGCUCAACUGGGGAAUUGCAUCCAAUACUGCAAAGCUAGAGGACUUGGGAAGUGAGCGGAAUUCUCGGUGUAGCGGUGAAAUGCGUAGAUAUCGAGAAGAACACCAGUGGCGCAGGCGGCUCGCUAUCAUUCUCCUGACACUGAGGCACGAAAGCGUGGGGAGCGAACGGGAUUAGAUACCCCGGUAGUCCACGCCGUAAACGAUGAGAACUGGGUGUUUGAGGUAUCGACCCCUCGAGUGCCGAAGCUAACGCAUUAAGUUCUCCGCCUGGGGAGUACAAACCGCAAGGUUA
This 373-nucleotide ribosomal RNA is filed under the name uncultured organism. RNAcentral describes it as "partial 16S ribosomal RNA". It matches the Rfam family "Bacterial small subunit ribosomal RNA", at positions 527 to 896 of the family's 1533-position model. The record is from RNAcentral.